RNAcentral lists this ribosomal RNA (252 nucleotides) under uncultured bacterium. Its description in RNAcentral is "partial 16S ribosomal RNA". It matches the Rfam family "Bacterial small subunit ribosomal RNA", at positions 527 to 779 of the family's 1533-position model. The record is from RNAcentral.
CGGAGGGGCUAGCGUUGUUCGGAAUUACUGGGCGUAAAGCGCACGUAGGCGGACCAGAAAGUUGGGGUGAAAGUCCCGGGGCUCAACCUCGGAACUGCCUUCAAACUAUUGGUCUUGAGUUCGAGAGAGGUGAGUGGAAUUCCGAGUGUAGAGGUGAAAUUCGUAGAUAUUCGGAGGAACACCAGUGGCGAAGGCGGCUCACUGGCUCGAUACUGACGCUGAGGUGCGAAAGCGUGGGGAGCAAACAGGAUU